RNAcentral lists this ribosomal RNA (497 nucleotides) under uncultured bacterium. RNAcentral describes it as "partial 16S ribosomal RNA". It matches the Rfam family "Bacterial small subunit ribosomal RNA", at positions 28 to 507 of the family's 1533-position model. The record is from RNAcentral.
GAUGAACGCUGGCGGCGUGCCUAAUACAUGCAAGUCGAGCGAACGGACGAGAAGCUUGCUUCUCUGAUGUUAGCGGCGGACGGGUGAGUAACACGUGGAUAACCUACCUAUAAGACUGGGAUAACUUCGGGAAACCGGAGCUAAUACCGGAUAAUAUUUUGAACCGCAUGGUUCAAAAGUGAAAGACGGUCUUGCUGUCACUUAUAGAUGGAUCCGCGCUGCAUUAGCUAGUUGGUAAGGUAACGGCUUACCAAGGCAACGAUGCAUAGCCGACCUGAGAGGGUGAUCGGCCACACUGGAACUGGGACACGGUCCAGACUCCUACGGGAGGCAGCAGUAGGGAAUCUUCCGCAAUGGUCGAAAGCCUGACGGAGCAACGCCGCGUGAGUGAUGAAGGUCUUCGGAUCGUAAAACUCUGUUAUUAGGGAAGAACAUAUGUGUAAGUAACUGUGCACAUCUUGACGGUACCUAAUCAGAAAGCCACGGCUAACUACGUG